AACGUUAUGGAUGUGCAAGUACUACAAGAAAAGGGCUAAAGUGUAUGGCCAGUUUUUUUUAUUUUUUAUCUGAAACAUGGAAUUUCAAAACAACCAAGCAAAAUGCCGAGGAGAAGUACAAAGCCCACAAAACAAGAAGGCGCAAACGUACGACAAAAACAUGUCAAGAAGUCCUCACAGCUGCUACCAUUAGUCAUUCCUUGGGGUUGGUGGCAUGGAAACCAUCCUUGUCUAGAAUAUGCAUUAGAGAGGAUGGGGUCGGUUGACCCAUACGUGUAUGGCCAGUUUCUUCAUUGGUUUCUAAACCUAAUGCGGAUGGGUUGAAAACAGCUAAUAAAAAAGAAUAAAGAUAAGAAACAUGUUUUAAAAGUAAAUAUUGAAAGUACAAUAAGAGAGACAAAAAAAUAGAAGAUGGAAAAUAAGAAUAUUUACGAAUUAUGGAAGAUGGAAUCAUACACAUCAACCAGCUGUC
RNAcentral lists this long non-coding RNA (472 nucleotides) under Prunus persica (peach). RNAcentral describes it as "long non-coding RNA (PPER_LNC004551)". The record is from RNAcentral. Lineage: Eukaryota; Viridiplantae; Streptophyta; Magnoliopsida; Rosales; Rosaceae.